AUGGGCAAGGGGCAAGAAAAGGGGAAGAAACAGGACGGCUACUGCUCUGCCCGGAUUUAGCCAGCAGAGGCAGCAGAGAGGCCCCGUCCUGCUGUAGGGAAGUCUGCCAUCCAGACUAGGUCUGAGCUCACCGCCUGGGUCACAGUUAUGCUGUCCAGGACUCUGCUGCUCUUCCUUGGUGUGCUGUUGCUGCUUUCCCAAGCUGACGGAGGGGUCCAGCGAAGGCAGAGAUAUGAAGCACCAGUUCGCACGGAGAUCAAGGAGUGUGAGGGGAAGCCCAAACGGUAUCUGUGCAGCCGCCAUUGUGAAGCCCACCAAGACUGCCAAGCAAAUAACAUCUGCUGCUCCGCUGCAUGUGGCAAUGUUUGCGUGAACCUGUUGGAUAAAGACAUAUGGGAGAUGCCUGUCACCCCUCCCUCUGACUAUGUCUACCCAGAGAGUGGGUCCCAGUCCAGCUUUGAAGGAGAUAUGAUUCUGCCUGGAACUGCUGUUACUAAAUAAACAAGCACCUGCCUCCUUCA
Non-coding RNA from Mus caroli (Ryukyu mouse), 521 nucleotides. NCBI's taxonomy places the organism in Eukaryota, Metazoa, Chordata, Mammalia, Rodentia, Muridae. The record is from RefSeq and is a predicted model, not a curated record.